Long non-coding RNA from Papaver somniferum (opium poppy), 2202 nucleotides. RefSeq lists it as uncharacterized. The record is from RefSeq and is a predicted model, not a curated record. The transcript is spliced from 4 exons. Lineage: Eukaryota; Viridiplantae; Streptophyta; Magnoliopsida; Ranunculales; Papaveraceae.
UUUAGCAAUGGAUGAAGAAGAUUAAGUGGUACUUUCUCUGAUUCUUCCGCGAGAUGGAGACGUCUACAUAAUUUUGGGGGUUUCUCUUUUAAUCUUCUUUGGAUGUUAAUUAGGUUUUUUCUCUGAUUAAGUGGUACUUUCUCUUUGGUUUGUAGGGAUUCGUUCAUUGAAGGAAAGCUUGGGUUUUUGAUACAGCGGGUUGCAAACAAAUUCAGUUUAGGGGAUUCGUCGAUUGAAGGAAAGCUUGGAUUUUUGAUACCGUGGAUUGCAAACAGAUUCAAUUUAGGGUUUACAUCCAUUGAAGUAAAGCAUAAUCACCGAGAUGAUGAGGAGGAAUAGAAGAAAAAGAGAAAAAACUGAAGUGGAGAAAAUAUCAGGGCAUGGAUAUGUAUUUUUGGAUCGAAAUGACUGUUUACAUCUCUAAGAACAUAUAAUCCCUCUGCCACCUACAUAAGGCUAAUGUAUGUUGGAUUGACUUAUUCUAUGUUUGUGUUCAGAUUCUGCAAGGCAUGGGAAGAAAGUGAAAAGACAAAAGCAUAGAACAAGCGUAUGGGACUGUAAUUUUACCCUGUUAUUCGUCUAAUCACAUAGCUUUCCAUAUUAUUACUGAAGGGCGUUGGAAAAGAUGUCCUCCCAAGAAAGCUACUAUUGAAAUGGAGUUCAAGAAAAUUGAGGUAAUCACAUAUUUUUGGUAAUUGAACCUUCACCGUAUUUGGCAGUUUAAAUUGAGACGAGAUGAUGAUUUUUCCGUAUCUACAUUUUAUGUUUUUAUGUUUAGUCGGUUCCAGUUUUUUAUUUCAUGUAAAAGGAAAAGUUGAUACCGCGUCUGUUGUACCCCGGAUAGGCAUUUCUAGCAGAUCAAAGUGUUAAAUGUUUUGCAUCAUUUCACUGUUUCAUAUCUUUUUGGGUAAUGCUGCAAGGGGGAUACUCUUCAUAUUCUAUCACUCUCUCAUUCUUCAAAGUACAAUUGUUUGUGAAAAUACCUGAGAGAAAAAAAAAAUUAUGAAACAAAUGUACGAAUUGUCUCCCCCUAGCAAAGUUUUCUUUCAUAUUACAUCACUAUACUACCAAUGUUAUUACUGCUUCAAAAGGGUGUGAGUUAUUACUGUCUUUAAAACUUGCAAUUUUCAGCAAUUGUGAUUUGUAUAUCUGGGCCAGCUAAAAGACACUAUACUACCAAUGUUGUCAUUUCCAGGUGUUGUCAGUGUUAAUUCAUACCUUCCCACAUAUCGGUUAGUUUUCAGCUUUAUUUUUUUGGUUAAAUAUCUUGGAUUCAUGAUUCUAGGGUUAUAUAAAUUAUUGAAGUUCAAAAUAUCGAUAUGAUGCAAGAAUUAUAGGUCAAGAUACCUAUCUGAUGCAAGAAAUAAUGCAUCUUCUCCUCUUUCUGAGGUUCUUAAUUGAACAUUGAAUGCUGGCUGGUGAUUGAAUACCAGCAACUUUAGCUUCCAAUGUUUUGAAUUUUUUGAAUUGCCUGUAAUAUUUUAUGAGCCUAUACAGGUGGAAUUGUUGCUUAGUGAAAGGAUUAUUGUGAAUGGUAUUUAACUCUUAACUUCACCUCAUUGAUUUUUCUCAAAUCUUAAAAAUAGUUAUUUCACGGUAGAGUUCAGUUGGUAGCUUAAAUGACAAGGUUUACAGUUUUGAAGGAUAUAAUUGCAGUCAUAACUUAGCUUGGCCGUUAAAGGGUUAGAUGGAUUAGGAUAGCUAAUCGAGUACAAUAUUUACUGAAUGACGACGGUCUGCAAAAGCUAAUUACAGGUGCGAUCUUGUUGGAUGAAGGAACUUGGCUUCUCGGUCUUCAUCUAGCUCCCAAAAUUUUGAGAGUGGAUACUCUAAAUCACGAGGAGAGCUGGUCUAGCUUAUGGCGAAGUAUUCUGUAUCAACAUGUCAGUUUCCAUCUCUUUUCUCAAUUUGCUACAUGCUGAUUAUUUGUAUUUUAGGUUUGUGGACCGGUCAAUUUUGAUAUGGUAAUGGUGCAUACAGUCAUGUACUUCAGGUUUGUCUAAGCAUAGUCAAAUUUGAUGUCCGAUCUCUUCUAUGAGGUGUCUAAUAAAAGAGAUGCGGAAAAUAAUUAAUCGAAAAAUGUUUGUUUUAUGUGUCUUAAUUUAUCCAUUGAGUAAUUUCUCCCGGGAUGUAAUCAGAAAAAAAGUACAAUUGUAUGAUUAUGUAGAUUGACACUUCAAUUAUAAUAAUGCAUAUUUGAUA